CGUAGGUGGCAAGCGUUGUCCGGAUUUACUGGGCGUAAAGAGCGCGCAGGCGGUUGAUUAAGUCGAAUGUGAAAGCCCCGGCUCAACUGGGGAGGGUCAUUCGAUACUGAUCGACUUGAAGGCAGGAGAGGGAAGUGGAAUUCCGGGUGUAGUGGUGAAAUGCGUAGAUAUCCGGAGGAACACCAGUGGCGAAGGCGACUUCCUGGCCUGUUCUUGACGCUGAGGCGCGAAAGCUGGGGGAGCAAAACGGGAUU
This 254-nucleotide ribosomal RNA is filed under the name uncultured bacterium. RNAcentral's name for it is "partial 16S ribosomal RNA". It matches the Rfam family "Bacterial small subunit ribosomal RNA", at positions 526 to 779 of the family's 1533-position model. The record is from RNAcentral.